Molecule: long non-coding RNA, 950 nt
Filed under: Malus domestica (apple)
Lineage: Eukaryota; Viridiplantae; Streptophyta; Magnoliopsida; Rosales; Rosaceae
Description: long non-coding RNA (MDOM_LNC012181)
Source: RNAcentral
GGUUCAAAUUCGUCUUUAGGGAGAAUAUGAAAGUUUGAUAUUUAGAUUUCAUAUUUGUGUUAUCAAUGAUUUCUUGGUGAACAAGUGGCUAGUAAUAUUCUGGAACCUCUAGGUUCGUUUAAGAGUUAAGAGUUUUUUGUUUUUCUAUUUAAGCCAACUUAUGUAUCUGUAUUGAGUAAUCAUCUUAUUAUCUUCCUUUUAUAUAAUGGGAACUAUUAUUCACACUCUAAAAUCUAAUUGUACACUUCUCAUAAGAGUACUGGUCUUUAUAAAUUUGGAGUGCACAAUUAAUUUUACUAAUAGAUUCCAUAUUGCUAGUGAAUUCUAACUUAUGGUAUUUCAUUUGAUUCCCUUGUUUAUUAUAUCAUUUUGCAUCAAAAUGACUCCAUAUUACUUCUCCUAUUAGUUGCUGCAUCUGAAGAUGAGAAUAAGCUAUGGGCUGGUUUGGGGUUGCUUAAAUUUGUUUAAAGCAGCUUCUUAAAAAAGUUGGAGCCUUAAUUGUGUUUAGUAAAUGAAAAAAAAUGUUUUUUUCUCUUCAAAAUCAUGGGUCCAAAAUAGCAGAAAGUAAAAGUAGCUUUACGCAUGUUUAUCAAAAAAAUGUUUUGUUUUUUAUUUUUUUUAUUUUUUUUAAUUCAUUUGAGACAAGUGAACAAUACCAAUUAAUGAACUUUUAUAUUGACAAUCAUACCCCAUAAUUUUUUUUAUUAAAAGCACUUUUAGCACUAUAUUUUAGCAAAACAUUUACUCUUUUUUUCACAGUUAUUUAUUCUUACAACACAUCAAAAACAGUUUUAAAGAAACCAUCAAUCCCAAACUAGCCCUUGCAACACUUGUGUUAAGAAACCACUAUUGAAGUAGUUGAAUAUCAGAGUGCGCAUACCACAAUGAACAAACAAACGGAUUACAAAACUAGAAAUAUUAUUGAUAUCGAACACUACAAAAUCGCCGAG